Molecule: long non-coding RNA, 606 nt
Filed under: Spirodela polyrhiza (greater duckweed)
Lineage: Eukaryota; Viridiplantae; Streptophyta; Magnoliopsida; Alismatales; Araceae
Description: long non-coding RNA (SPOL_LNC001081)
Source: RNAcentral
UCUGAAACUGGAGUUGGAGCAGGCCAAGGAGCAGAUCGAAGAUCUGUCGCUGGAGAGGAGCGAGGAGCAGGAGAUGAUCAGGGCCGCCGUCCGAUCCGCGAGGGGGGAGCUCCAAGGCGAGCGGAGGAUGAGGCGGCGUUCGGAGAGCCUGCAUCGGAAGGUAGCCAGAGAAUUAUCGGGAGUGAAGGCGUCGUUCUUGAGGGCCCUGGAAGACCUAGAGAGAGAACGGAAGGCCCGGGACCUGUUGGAAAGCCUCUGCGACGAGUUCGCAGAGGGCGUCAGACGAUACGAAGAGGAGGUGAGAGAAUGGAGGCAGAAAUCCGGCGGAGGGUGCGGCCAUGGGCGGGACCGGCCGGUGCUUCACAUCGCUGAAGAAUGGCUGGGCGAGCGGCUCCAGAUGAAGCUCGCCGGAGCCCGGGGCGACCUCCGGGAGAAGAAUACGAUUCUAGAGAGACUCACCUCUGAGGUCGAAUCGUUUGUCCAGAGCAGAUGGAGGCACAGCUCUCGCAGUGAGGUUCUUCACGCCGAUCUCUCCGUCGACGGCUUCUUUCGCCGCCAACCUCCGGAGUCGGCUCAACUCCGGGAUCCCGCGGACGACGAUGACGA